Xenopus laevis (African clawed frog) is the source of this 455-nucleotide long non-coding RNA. RefSeq lists it as uncharacterized. The transcript has 3 exons. Lineage: Eukaryota; Metazoa; Chordata; Amphibia; Anura; Pipidae. The record is from RefSeq and is a predicted model, not a curated record.
GAACCGGGAGAGUGAAGACCCCUUUCCAGCCAGGAAUGCCAUCAGCAGAUGACUUCACUGAAAUCCCGCUGUCAUUCUCCUCUCAAAUUCGGAACGAGGAAACCAACUUGGCAGAUUUCUCCCACGUGGAUCCCAGCUGGAGUUGGCAGGAGUAAGGCAUUGGUUCUAAUAUGGGAAAGCAUCAAUACUGCCUGGACAAUACAACAACCUGGGCCAAUUGACAUCAUACCCUCUAUGGCAAGCUGCACCUCUCAACAACUCAUCCACCUGCGUCUGCCAUCAAUGUCGCCACCACACGGGAUCCCUGGCUUUGACUUGGAGAAGAGAAAAAGAAAGAACGGAAGAGUUAACCAUCGGAAGGAAGGGCGGGUUGUUAUCACUCAGCAGCCGCUGAGCUCCCUAAUGGUAAGUAGUGGUAAGUAUACCCCCUGGAGACCUGAUUAUAUAGGGGUUUC